Molecule: ribosomal RNA, 253 nt
Filed under: uncultured bacterium
Lineage: Bacteria
Description: partial 16S ribosomal RNA
Rfam family: Bacterial small subunit ribosomal RNA
Source: RNAcentral
UACGUAGGUGGCAAGCGUUGUCCGGAUUUACUGGGCGUAAAGAGCGUGUAGGCGGUUAGGUAGGUCCGUUGUGAAAACUCGAGGCUCAACCUCGAGACGCCGAUGGAAACCAUCUAACUAGAGUCCGGAAGAGGAGAGUGGAAUUCCUGGUGUAGCGGUGAAAUGCGCAGAUAUCAGGAAGAACACCCGUGGCUAAGGCGGCUCUCUAGUACGGUACUGACGCUGAGACGCGAAAGCGUGGGGAGCGAACAGG